GCUCAUUGACGACCAAAGCCAGAUCGGGGCUAGAUCGAUCCACACCACGAUCCCUCCCUCACUGCUCGCUCCCCAUGCCCAAAUCGAACUCCACCACGAUCCAUCCAGAUCGCCAAAUCAGCCCCCUAAGCGGGUCCUCAUGAGAGCUCUACUGAAACAAUAGCGAAAACGACAUUCAAGUGCAAAAAAAAACUGAAAAAGGUUCAGCGACUAAGACAGAGCUCUACUGCUAGUUUGAAUCAAUGCACAUGUCAAUCUUGUACAAGUUUAAGCAAGCUGCAUGGUGGUUUGGACUGACCAAUCCUCUAGUGGUAGAAACCAACGAUCUGUCUCAGAAGGUUCCCUGCUACUGCGUGACAACAGCAGCGCUGUCGACGGUCCCCUCCUCUUCCACACCCACCACCAACCUCAAUCUGCCAAACACGGCAUUCUGCUCUGACUAUUGGAUCGAUACCACGUACCGUGAUCGAUCCUCAAUACAACAGUUCCUCGCCAAGUUACAGCAACGCCGCGCCGCGCGUGGCGUGCUUUGUGCUCGGCAGCAUUUGGACCCCAUCAUGCAAACAAGGUUGCCAAAACUAAGGUUGGAUCCUCCCCAGAGUAACAUAGAUAGAUAGCUACUGUAUAAGGAACAAAAGAAGAGAAGCUGACUGACCGUAGCCGAGGAGGAUGGCAUUGAGCGACGCGAAGAGCGCGCAGGUGAAGACGUACCGCUUGGCCGUCUUCCGCCGGCGGCUCCCCGCCUCGGCCCUGCGCUCCCACUCCGGCUCGUCCAGCUCCUCCUCUUCCUCCUCCGGCUCCACCCUCCGAUACUCGCUGCCGCCCUUCGCCGCCACCGG
This 839-nucleotide long non-coding RNA is filed under the name Hordeum vulgare. RNAcentral describes it as "long non-coding RNA (HVUL_LNC011657)". The record is from RNAcentral. Lineage: Eukaryota; Viridiplantae; Streptophyta; Magnoliopsida; Poales; Poaceae.